RNAcentral lists this long non-coding RNA (568 nucleotides) under Homo sapiens (human). RNAcentral's name for it is "HSALNT0118235". The record is from RNAcentral. Lineage: Eukaryota; Metazoa; Chordata; Mammalia; Primates; Hominidae.
AGCCUUCAUACAUCUCAAGUUGGGGGACAAAAAAGGGGGAAGGGGGGGCACGAAGGCUCAUCAUUCAAAAUAAAACAAAAUAAAAAAGUAUUAAGGCGAAGAUUAAAAAAAUUUUGCAUUACAUAAUUUACACGAAAGCAAUGCUAUCACCUCCCCUGUGUGGACUUGGGAGAGGACUGGGCCAUUCUCCUUAGAGAGAAGUGGGGUGGCUUUUAGGAUGGCAAGGGACUUCCUGUAACAACGCAUCUCAUAUUUGGAAUGACUAUUAAAAAAACAACAAUGUGCAAUCAAAGUCCUCGGCCACAUUGUGAACUUUGGGGGAUGCUCGCUCCAACCGACUGCUGUCACCUUCACCGUUCCAGUUUUUAAAUCCUGAGUCAAGCCAAAAAAAAAAAAAAAACCAAAACAAAACAAAAAAAACAAAUAAAGCCAUGCCAAUCUCAUCUUGUUUUCUGCGCAAGUUAGGUUUUGUCAAGAAAGGGUGUAACGCAACUAAGUCAUAGUCCGCCUAGAAGCAUUUGCGGUGGACGAUGGAGGGGCCGGACUCGUCAUACUCCUGCUUGCUGAU